AAACCUUUUCGAAAGAAAAUCUGUUCUUAUCAGUUUAUCUGAUACAUCCCCCAUCCGGGGACUACAUAUUAAAUGGAUUUUUAGAUCACGGAGCUGGAGUCGGGGCUUGCUCUGUCCACUCCACGCAUUGGCCUGGUAUUGCAGUGUCUCCAGGAACGGUGUGUGCUUU
RNAcentral lists this small nuclear RNA (169 nucleotides) under Carassius auratus (goldfish). RNAcentral's name for it is "U2 spliceosomal RNA (ENSCARG00000060580.1)". It matches the Rfam family "U2 spliceosomal RNA". Rfam says of the family: U2 is a small nuclear RNA (snRNA) component of the spliceosome (involved in pre-mRNA splicing). Complementary binding between U2 snRNA (in an area lying towards the 5' end but 3' to hairpin I) and the branchpoint sequence (BPS) of the intron results the bulging out of an unpaired adenosine, on the BPS, which initiates a nucleophilic attack at the intronic 5' splice site, thus starting the first of two transesterification reactions that mediate splicing. The record is from Rfam by way of RNAcentral. Lineage: Eukaryota; Metazoa; Chordata; Actinopteri; Cypriniformes; Cyprinidae.